RNAcentral lists this unclassified non-coding RNA (3895 nucleotides) under Ooceraea biroi (clonal raider ant). RNAcentral describes it as "uncharacterized LOC105287244, transcript variant X1". Lineage: Eukaryota; Metazoa; Arthropoda; Insecta; Hymenoptera; Formicidae. The record is from RNAcentral.
UGACUGAAUCGGGCGAAAAUACAAUAUUAAUGAAAACACGAUUUACGCUUGCGUGAAAUUUGAAAGAGCUGUUUUAUGACUUUUUCUGUGAGAACUGAACAUCCUGAAUUACUUUCCCCAUUAUAUCGAUCGCGUAAUAGUCUUAUACCCCAGCCAAUUGUCACACAAUUAUUUUGAUAGUGCGAUAAUAUCGGGCACUAUUUGUCUUAUACUUAUGCAACAUUGAGCAAUUGAGAAAUAUUACGCUUACAUAAAGGAAAUUUCAAAACAUUUUCAUCUUCACGAAAAGGUGCAAACAUUCCAUCGAGUAAUACGCUACCACACGCUCCUCGACAUUUGCAGAAUGGCGAUCUGUGUUGUGCAGCAGUAUUUUAGUAUCAAUAAAAUACUUUUUCGUGCAGUUGCCUUAUGGCCUUAUCAUCGAACGAAACUCGUUGAAUUUCACCUGACCUUCUUUCUUGUUAUUUUGAUUAGCUUUAUCGCUGCCCAGUUGGCAACAUUUCUGACUACAGAAUGCACACCUCAUAUGGCAAUUAAAAUUUUCUCUCUUGUAUUGUACUUUACUCUGUAUUUGAUAAACUACCUUUCCUUUCGUGUUAAUGCCCAUACUAUAGGAUGCCUAUUGGAGAAAUUUCAAUAUAUAUGUGACGAGCUAACAGAUGAAGGCGAAAUCGCUAUCAUAAAAGAAUAUGGAAAUGAGGCGAAACGUUUUACCGUUAUAAUUUCCUUGUACGGCAUGUUCAACAUACUCACUACGUGUCUUCUACCAGUUUUUCCGCGCAUUCUUCGUACUUUUACGUCCACAAAUGUGUCUGAAAAACAUUUUAUGAUACAUAUUCCGAGAGAAUACUUUAUCGAUCAAGAGAAAUAUUACUAUUGUAUUUUGCUGCACAUGGACGUUAGCCUCUUUAUGGGAGCAAUAGUAUUAGUAGCAACAGGAACAUUGCUGUUUGGCUGCAUGAAAUAUAUGUGUGGAUUAUUUAGAAUCGCCAGUUAUCGUAUUGAUCAAACAAUGAAGACUCCGAUGUUUCAAAUUGCUGGGUUGUCGAAGGAUUAUGUAAUUUAUAAAACGAUUGUGCAUGCCAUAGACAUUCAUCGCAAGGCAAUAGAAGUUUGUGAUAUAAUAAAAUCCAAUUUUGUGGGAAUGUCUUUUAUACUAAUGUUAAUUAGUGUUACUUCCUUAAGUCUCAAUCUUUAUGGACUUCACCAGGCUGUAAUGUUUGGAAACGCCACGGAGGAAUAUUUAGUGUAUGCUAAAGGUCUAUUUGUCACUCUACUAUAUAUAUUCAUAUGCAAUUACAUCGGACAAGAACUUACAGACCAUUAUAACCAUAUGUUUAUCAGCAUAUACAGUGUUCAGUGGUACGUAACUCCCUUACACAUACAGAAAAUAAUUUUGUUCCUGUUGCAAAGAGGCACUAAAAAUUUUUAUUUCGUUUUUGGUGGAAUAUUAGUGAUGUCUAUAGAAAAUGCGACCACGGUAAAAUUAUUUCAUGUUAUGUCAUGUUAUAAAAAUAUAUCAAAUUAUAAUCUUCCAACCAGCAUGCACUUUGAGUUAAAAAAUGAAAAAUAUGUUUCAGUUAGUAAGCGCUUCCAUAUCGUAUUUCACCGUUCUCCAUUCUAUGCAGCAACCUGAUAUAAUUACAUAACUAAAAUGAGUUUAUGGCGUUUCGAUUAGAUCGAAUUAAAAUUAGAUUCUACAUACUAGAGAAUUCUGAAGUAACAUUCUUACCGUCGAACGGAGAAGAAAUUUUUAAUCAUCGGAGCAACUCAUCAUGAUAUUUUCCUGCGUAAUUCAAAGUAUAAAUUCGCAACAAUGGGUGCAUCGUACGAUUUUAUUAGUGUUUCUUUAAUCGAAACUUUAAAGUAAUCCAUAUAUGUACACAAGAUUAUAAUAUAUAAUUUGUGCGUUUAUAAUAUCUCAUUACAUAUUAUAAAUAAGUGCGGGACAUGAGUAGUAACAAAAUUUAAACCAAACUCACAAUAUAUUAGUUACCUUUGACAUAUUAUUCACACUUCGCGAUAUGUAUAUAACCAGUGCUGAAUGUGUCUACCUCAUUUGAAUAUUAAAUAUAUAUCACAUAUAUAUAAAAAGUCAAAUAAAGUUAUCCUUUAGUGAUUUAGUAAUUCUUCGCUAAUUUAGCUCUUUGUCAAUGUUUUCAAUAAAAACAUCAAAAUCGGAUUAAUAAUACGUUAGAAGAUAAUUUACAUUCUCAUUGGAUUUAUAGAUAACAUCAUCCUAAGAUAUUAUACAAUUGAGAAUAUGUGUACUCCAACAUCCAUUCAACAAUGUUUGCAGUUCCGGUACAAGAUUGAAAUGUUAAACCGAAUAUGGAACUUUGCAAAAAUAUAAACGUAUUCCGAACUUGGAAUGAAAUGGAUACUAUCAAUGUACUCAAGAUAAAUGAUAUGUGGUUGCAUGAACUUCGUUCAAGACAUCAUGCUACGAUUCUUCGCCAGUUGAAAAUAAAAAAGCAAUAAAUUUCAUUCCUUACCUUGAUAGAAAUCUGUGCAGUUUUUCUAGACACCCAAGCAGUUACUGUCUAGUAUUACUGUAGUCUCAUAAAUUGUAUCAUUACUGUGUAGGAAAUGGACAAAACUAGAUAGAGUUUUACUAAGCCCAUUUUAUGAGCAGUAAACUUGCUUAGUAAUAGGUUAAAUAGUUUAAUAGAUUUAAUAGUUUGAAGAAGCUAAGAAGAAUUUAAAAAAAUGUAUAACGUUAAAUAUAUUUUUACGUAGUAGAUAAUGCAACAUGUAAUAGCUGAAUAUACAUAUAAAAUGAAUAUGUUUAACGCGAGUCAAGUUUAUUAAAUAUUAAUUUAGUUGCAAUACACGAAAUUCUGAAUAAUAUAACUUACGUAGAAAAGACAUCUUCGUAUUGCAAUAAAAGAACAAAAUGUCCAUGUAUCCAUACAUCUUUGGAGAGUACAACCGUAUCACACAAAAGCCUACACUCGAAUGAAAUUUGCGAAAAUACAAUAUUAAAGAAAACGCGAUCUGCGCUACCGUGAAAUUUGAUAGAGAUAUCAUUUUGUGACUCUUUUUCUGUGGGAACUGAACAUACGCUGAACGUACGCUUCCCCUAUCGAUCGCAUAAUAGGCGACUUCUACCGCAGCCAAUUGUCACUAAAGUAUUGCGAUAGUGCGAUAAUAUAGUGCACCAUUUGUCUUAUACUUAUGUAAAAUUGAGCAAUCAGAAAUAUUACAUUUACAUAAAAAAAAUUUCAGAAUAUCUUUAUCUCAAAAAAAAUGCAAGCUCUCGUCUGAUAUUUUUCCAGCAAAUGUUCCUUGAUAUUCGCAGUAUGACGAUCUGCGUUGUGGAUCAGCAUUUUAGUCUUAAUAAAAUACUUUUGCGUGCACUUGCCUUAUGGCCUUAUCAUCGCACGAAACUCGUUGAAUUACACCUGGUCUUGUUGUUUUUUAUUUUCAUUAGCUUCAUCUUAGUUCAAGUAUGUUUAACCAUAUGAGUAUAAGUUUAAUCAUAUUAAUACGUUACUAUACAGAUUUUUCUUUAUAGCCACUCUAAUAAUACUUCUGCACUUUAUUAAUAACAUUGUUUAUAUCGCCUUUAAUUACUAAAUGUGUAGGAAGAACACAUUUAUUACGUUAUGGUUACAUAUUUUUACAAAGCGUCCAUUUAAUAAUUGAUUAUUUUAUCUUACUAUAUUGCUAAUCAUACACAAAAGCAGCAUGUAACUUUUAUUUUUAUAAAUCUUUAAUUGUAGUUGACAACAUUUCUAACUACAGAAUGCACCCCUAAUAUGAGAAUUAGAAUUUUCUCCUUUGUAUUGUAUUUUACUAUAUAUCUAAUAAAGUACAGUUGCUUCUGCAUUAAUAGUGAUACUGUAAGUUAAGUUUUAUUUUACUUAUUGUAAUAAAUAUUAUUGACAAAUGA